CCGCUUUUUNNNNNCGAUGGGAGCUACACAUGCAGUGAGCGGGGAAGGUAGCUUGCUACAUUUCCUAGCGGCGGACGGGUGAGUAAUGCUUAGGAAUCUGCCUAUUAGUGGGGGACAACAUUCCGAAAGGAAUGCUAAUACCGCAUACGCCCUACGGGGGAAAGCAGGGGAUCUUCGGACCUUGCGCUAAUAGAUGAGCCUAAGUCAGAUUAGCUAGUUGGUGGGGUAAAGGCCUACCAAGGCGACGAUCUGUAGCGGGUCUGAGAGGAUGAUCCGCCACACUGGGACUGAGACACGGCCCAGACUCCUACGGGAGGCAGCAGUGGGGAAUAUUGGACAAUGGGCGAAAGCCUGAUCCAGCCAUGCCGCGUGUGUGAAGAAGGCCUUUUGGUUGUAAAGCACUUUAAGCGAGGAGGAGGCUACUUAGAUUAAUACUCUAGGAUAGUGGACGUUACUCGCAGAAUAAGCACCGGCUAACUCUGUGCCAGCAGCCGCGGUAAUACAGAGGGUGCGAGCGUUAAUCGGAUUUACUGGGCGUAAAGCGUGCGUAGGCGGCUUCUUAAGUCGGAUGUGAAAUCCCUGAGCUUAACUUAGGAAUUGCAUUCGAUACUGGGAAGCUAGAGUAUGGGAGAGGAUGGUAGAAUUCCAGGUGUAGCGGUGAAAUGCGUAGAGAUCUGGAGGAAUACCGAUGGCGAAGGCAGCCAUCUGGCCUAAUACUGACGCUGAGGUACGAAAGCAUGGGGAGCAAACAGGAUUAGAUACCCUGGUAGUCCAUGCCGUANACGAUGUCUACUAGCCGUUGGGGCCUUUGAGGCUUUAGUGGCGCAGCUAACGCGAUAAGUAGACCGCCUGGGGAGUACGGUC
This 864-nucleotide ribosomal RNA is filed under the name uncultured marine bacterium. RNAcentral describes it as "bacterial SSU rRNA". It matches the Rfam family "Bacterial small subunit ribosomal RNA", at positions 25 to 887 of the family's 1533-position model. The record is from RNAcentral.